CCCCACUGCUAUCGGGAUGGGACUAAGACAUGCUAGUCGAGCGUCUCCAAGCUAUGGAAGAGACGCGGCGCACAGCUCAGUAACACGUGGCUAACCUGCCCUUGGGACAAGGACAACUCCGGGAAACUGGGGCUAAUCCCUGAUAAGUGAGAACUCCUGGAAUGGAUUCUCGCUCAAAGGACGUUUAGACCAUGCUUCUAGGCGUCGCCCAAGGAGGGGGCCGCGACCGAUCAGGUUGUUGGUGAGGUAACGGCUCACCAAGCCUUUAACCGGUACGGGCCGUGAGAGCGGAAGCCCGGAGAUGGGCACUGAGACAAGGGCCCAGGCCCUACGGGGCGCAGCAGUCGCGAAAACUCCGCAAUACACGAAAGUGUGACGGGGCCACCCCGAGUGCCAUCCGCUGAGGAUGGCUUUUCCCCAGUGUAUAAAGCUGGGGGAAUAAGGAGAGGGCAAGCCUGGUGUCAGCCGCCGCGGUAAUACCAGCUCUCCGAGUGGUGGGGAUGUUUAUUGGGCCUAAAGCAUUCGUAGCCUGCUUGGCAAGUCCUCCGUUAAAUCCAACGAUUCAAUCGUUGGGCUGCGGGGGAUACUGUCCGGCUAGGGGGCGGGAGAGGCCGACGGUAUCCUCGGGGUAGGGGUGAAAUCCUAUAAUCCCGGGAGGACCACCAGUGGCGAAGGCUGUCGGCUAGAACGCGCUCGACGGUGAGGGAUGAAAGCUGGGGGAGCGAACCGGAUUAGAUACCCGGGUAGUCCCAGCUGUAAACGAUGCAGGCUAGGUGUUGGCGCGGCUACGUGCCGCUCCAGUGCCGCAGGGAAGCCGUUAAGCCUGCCGCCUGGGAAGUACGGCCGCAAGGCUGAAACUUAAAGGAAUUGGCGGGGGAGCACCACAAGGUGUGAAGCUUGCGGUUU
RNAcentral lists this ribosomal RNA (906 nucleotides) under uncultured archaeon. RNAcentral describes it as "bacterial SSU rRNA". It matches the Rfam family "Archaeal small subunit ribosomal RNA", at positions 21 to 903 of the family's 1478-position model. The record is from RNAcentral.